UACGAGGGGGGCGAGCGUUGUUCGGAAUUAUUGGGCGUAAAGGGCGCGUAGGCGGCUUGGUAAGCGUGCGGUGAAAGCCCGGGGCUCAACCCCGGGUCGGCCGUGCGAACUGCUGGGCUGGAGCACUGUAGAGGCAGGUGGAAUUCCGGGUGUAGCGGUGGAAUGCGUAGAGAUCCGGAAGAACACCGGUGGCGAAGGCGGCCUGCUGGGCAGUAGCUGACGCUGAUGCGCGACAGCGUGGGGCGCAAACAGG
RNAcentral lists this ribosomal RNA (253 nucleotides) under uncultured prokaryote. RNAcentral's name for it is "partial 16S ribosomal RNA". It matches the Rfam family "Bacterial small subunit ribosomal RNA", at positions 524 to 776 of the family's 1533-position model. The record is from RNAcentral.